Molecule: long non-coding RNA, 592 nt
Organism: Eufriesea mexicana
Lineage: Eukaryota; Metazoa; Arthropoda; Insecta; Hymenoptera; Apidae
Exons: 3
Source: RefSeq, a predicted model, not a curated record
CUCAAUCCAUUUCGAUGCUAAUAAAACUGACAUGCUAGGUGUCGAAUCUUCUUUAUGGUGAAUUAUACAACAUGGAACUUGGGGUGUUCCAAUUAUAUAGAAAUCCUUACUGCUCAUUAACUAGGAUAUCAACAACUUAUUUCCCUCGAAAUCAGUAUCCAGAAAAAGAAGACAGUCAUACACUGAAAAUCCCUUCAUCAAGUCAUCAAAGACAAUAAUACACGGUAACCAAUGAACAAAACCUCCAAAGGAGCCAACUUCGAUAAAGAGAAACACGUCGAGAUGAACAAGCUCCCUAAACGACCGGAAUCGAGCAUGGAUAAUAACAAGACACCCUUGUCCGAAUAAUAAAUCUCUAGCCAACAACAUUACCUACUGACAAAAGGAUGACGAUGGGCGUGACUGGCGUGCCCGUUGCUCGUUCCGAUCGUGAGAGAUGGAGACGUCAACUUUUGUACGAUUCGUCGCGGACCGAUGUCGAGGAUCGAGGACCCGGAGUGGCGUGCAACGAACAUUUAGGAUUCACGCUCGAGCUGUCGAACAGUGCCUACGUCGACGAGCUGGCUAUAUACGACGAGUCGACGACGAUUUG